Molecule: long non-coding RNA, 839 nt
Organism: Macadamia integrifolia
Lineage: Eukaryota; Viridiplantae; Streptophyta; Magnoliopsida; Proteales; Proteaceae
Exons: 2
Source: RefSeq, a predicted model, not a curated record
ACGAAAAAUCAGUGAUUUGACGAAACACCCCGCCCCCUGUUCUGUCGGUGGGUUUCGUUUCAAAAUAAUAUCUGUUGAAACAAUCGUUCCCGACCCAAUACCGCGACAGAGAGAGGAGAGCAGAGGAGAGAAGCCAAAACCGUCUCAGGUCUCGUUCUUCUUCUUCCUCCAACCUUCAUUCCCGACGGUCGGCGACAGAGAGAGGAGAUCAGCGAGGAGAGAAGCCAGAACCCAUAUCUGAACUUCCGAAAAACCCAUCUCAGGCAAGAAGUGAUCUUGUUCUUCUUCUUCCUCCAACCUUCGUUCCCGACGGUCGGCGACAGAGAGAGGAGAUCAGCGAAAGAGUUGAACCAGAACCCACUUCCCUCCUUCCGAAAAACCCAUCUCAGAUGGAGCUAGCUGGAAAAUUCUUCAAAAAUGGAAGGUCAUUUGACAUGGAGGGUAGGAGGGCCAUACUUUACUUGAGAUAUCUUUAGAGAUCAGUCUUUUAGUGAUAGUGAACUUUCCCCCUAUAAAGCACAUUGUUUUCAUCAAAAUUUAGAAUAUGACUUAACAAGAAUAUUUAUCUGAAUAUUACAGUAAUUACAAUAAUCUUGUGACAGUAUGUUCUAUGAAUUUAUGAAAAUUUGAUACUAAUAAAAAAGAAAAAGGAGAAAAAAGAAGAAGAGCAUAUAUAGGGGAGAAGGAGAUUUGCAAUGCAUUUCAUUAUAAAACAUGUAUAACUUCUUUUUCCUUGAGCACCCUAUAUGCCUAUAUUGUAUUUCCUUGUUCACCUAAAUACUGUUCAAGUUAUUGAUUUAUGUGGUAAGAAAACUGUAGUGCAGAUAGCAUUCGAUAUA